RNAcentral lists this ribosomal RNA (487 nucleotides) under uncultured bacterium. RNAcentral describes it as "bacterial SSU rRNA". It matches the Rfam family "Bacterial small subunit ribosomal RNA", at positions 28 to 526 of the family's 1533-position model. The record is from RNAcentral.
GACGAACGCUGGCGGCGUGCUUAACACAUGCAAGUCGAACGGAGAUAUCCUAAUAGUAAUAUGAAGAUAUCUUAGUGGCGGACGGGUGAGUAACACGUGGGUAACCUGCCCUAUGGAGGGGGAUAACACAAAGAAAUUUGUGCUAAUACCGCAUAACAUAACGAUAUCGCAUGGUAUUGUUAUCAAAGAUUUAUUGCCAUAGGAUGGACCCGCGGCCCAUUAGCUAGUUGGUGAGGUAACGGCUCACCAAGGCGACGAUGGGUAGCCGACCUGAGAGGGUGAACGGCCACAUUGGAACUGAGACACGGUCCAGACUCCUACGGGAGGCAGCAGUGGGGAAUAUUGCACAAUGGGGGAAACCCUGAUGCAGCAACGCCGCGUGAGCGACGAAGGCCUUCGGGUCGUAAAGCUCUGUCUUAGCUGACGAUAAUGACGGUAAGCUAGGAGGAAGCCACGGCUAACUACGUGCCAGCAGCCGCGGUAACAC